UUGGAGGGCAAGUCUGGUGCCAGCAGCCGCGGUAAUUCCAGCUCCAAUAGCGUAUAUUAAAGUUGUUGCAGUUAAAAAGCUCGUAGUUGAAUUUCGGUAUCAGAGUGUCGGUCGUGCCUCGGUACGUACUGGUAUUAUUGGUUCCUACCUUCUGAAGAACCGCGAUGUCAUUAAUUUGGUGUCGUGGGGAAUCAGGACUGUUACUUUGAAAAAAUUAGUGUGUUUAAAGCAGGCUUACGCUUGAAUACAUUAGCAUGGAAUAAUGAAAUAGGACGUUUGAUUCUAUUUUGUUGGUUUCUAGGAUUGACGUAAUGAUUAAUAGGGAUAGUUGGGGGCAUUAGUACUCAAUUGUCAGAGGUGAAAUUCUUGGAUUUAUUGAAGACUAACUACUGCGAAAGCAUUUGCCAAGGAUGUUUUCAUUAAUCAAGAACGAAAGUUAGGGGAUCGAAGACGAUCAGAUACCGUCGUAGUCUUAACCAUAAACUAUGCCGACUAGGGAUCGGAUGAUGUUAAUUUUUUAAUGACUCAUUCGGCGCCUUACGGGAAACCAAAGUGUUUGGGUUC
RNAcentral lists this ribosomal RNA (564 nucleotides) under uncultured Glomeromycotina. RNAcentral describes it as "SSU rRNA". It matches the Rfam family "Eukaryotic small subunit ribosomal RNA", at positions 548 to 1114 of the family's 1831-position model. Lineage: Eukaryota; Fungi; Glomeromycota. The record is from RNAcentral.